RNAcentral lists this ribosomal RNA (232 nucleotides) under uncultured bacterium. Its description in RNAcentral is "partial 16S ribosomal RNA". It matches the Rfam family "Bacterial small subunit ribosomal RNA", at positions 99 to 334 of the family's 1533-position model. The record is from RNAcentral.
CGGACGGGUGAGUAAUGUCUGGGAAACUGCCUGAUGGAGGGGGAUAACUACUGGAAACGGUAGCUAAUACCGCAUAACGUCGCAAGACCAAAGGGGGGGACCUUCGGGCCUCUUGCCAUCGGAUGUGCCCAGAUGGGAUUAGCUAGUAGGUGGGGUAACGGCUCACCUAGGCGACGAUCCCUAGCUGGUCUGAGAGGAUGACCAGCCACACUGGAACUGAGACACGGUCCAG